RNAcentral lists this ribosomal RNA (528 nucleotides) under Triticum aestivum (bread wheat). Its description in RNAcentral is "partial small subunit ribosomal RNA". Lineage: Eukaryota; Viridiplantae; Streptophyta; Magnoliopsida; Poales; Poaceae. The record is from RNAcentral.
AUGGCGGAGGACUCAGGCGCCAUCCUCCGCCACAUCUCCUCCCUCAAGGACAUGCUUGACAAGGUCAAUGAAGAAAUUGAACAGAAUAUACAAAGGACCAGGGAAAGAGAGUCAGAAAUAGUGAAGCAUUCUGAAACUGAAAAGGACUAUCUCGUGAAGGAAUCUGAGCUAAUGAAAGGAGUAUCGGUUGCUGAGUUUGAACUUGAUGGGCUUAUGCAAGUGGAAGCUGCUGGAACAGAUUCACUUAAAGCGAUGGAGGGCAAUUUGGAAUUCCGGAAAGCUACUCUGAAUGCAAUUACGAAACUAUUCUACGAUAAAAUGGAAAGGUUCAUCGCUGAAUCUAAAGACUUCCAAGUUAACAUGCUUGGAGGUUCAAUUGAGGAUUUACCUCUCCUACUAAAGGAAAGAGAUUCACUAGAGAAUGAGAGUGAGAACUUGAGGAUGAAGAUCAACGCCAUACAAAGUUCAUCAAAGGAAUACAUUGCUGAGAUUCUUGAGGAGGUAAAUGUGGAAAAUUCAGGUAAGUGA